Non-coding RNA from Loxodonta africana (African savanna elephant), 47 nucleotides. The record is from Rfam. Lineage: Eukaryota; Metazoa; Chordata; Mammalia; Proboscidea; Elephantidae.
UAAAAGGCUCUUUUCAGAGCCCCUCAAUUCUCCCCAAGAAAGAGUUG